This 361-nucleotide long non-coding RNA is filed under the name Rattus norvegicus (Norway rat). RNAcentral describes it as "long non-coding RNA NONRATT025348". Lineage: Eukaryota; Metazoa; Chordata; Mammalia; Rodentia; Muridae. The record is from RNAcentral.
UGUUCUGUGGGUUGUGGGGCAAAUUUCUGAACGUGGGCCCAGGCUGCCUGCGGUCAUCACUCCCCUCCCGGCAAGGGACGCGGCCUCUGUGCCCGUUUCCUCUAUAUGUCGCUGCCUUGUCCUAAGUCAGACUGCGUUCGAGAUGCUGAACCGAGGUUUCCAGUGGUUUCCUGGCGCUGUGACUCAUCCAGUCACGUGCGUCGUAGAGGCUGCGCCGUGCAUCUCCCUGCGGAGAUGGCGGACACCUUCACAGGGCCAAGUUUACUCUGCUGUCUUGUUCUGGUGCAGCUGUGCUGAGCUAAUAUCCUAUUUGCUUUGAACUCUUCUCUGCUUUCUGCAUACACUUCAUCUCAUUCCUACA